RNAcentral lists this ribosomal RNA (253 nucleotides) under uncultured bacterium. Its description in RNAcentral is "partial 16S ribosomal RNA". It matches the Rfam family "Bacterial small subunit ribosomal RNA", at positions 524 to 776 of the family's 1533-position model. The record is from RNAcentral.
UACAGAGGGUGCGAGCGUUAUUCGGAAUUACUGGGCGUAAAGCGCACGUAGGCGGCUUUGUAAGUUAGAUGUGAAAGCCCGGGGCUCAACUCCGGAAUUGCCUUUAAGACUGCAUCGCUAGAAUUGUGGAGAGGUAAGUGGAAUUCCGAGUGUAGAGGUGAAAUUCGUAGAUAUUCGGAAGAACACCAGUGGCGAAGGCGACUUACUGGACAGAUAUUGACGCUGAGGUGCGAAAGCGUGGGGAGCAAACAGG